Molecule: long non-coding RNA, 403 nt
Organism: Trachemys scripta elegans
Lineage: Eukaryota; Metazoa; Chordata; Testudines; Emydidae
Exons: 3
Source: RefSeq, a predicted model, not a curated record
AGAUCCUUCCAGGAGGGAUUACUGCUUUCAGGCUGAAUGGGAAUCCAAAGGGCUCUGCUCUAUCGGGGAGGCCUCAGAACCAGCUGAUGAGACAUGGUGGAUUCCCCAACACUCGAAGUCUGUACAUCAAAGCAGGAUGUCUUUCUAAAGAAGAGGCUAUAGCUCAGCCUGAAGAGACAGGCUGACUACAGAAGUUCCUGGACAAGUUUCUCUGGCCUGUGCCAUGCCGGAGAUCAGAGACUUUUCUGAACCGCAGGAAAAUAAUUUGCACCAUCAGCAAUUCUGAUAAUUUUUAAAAAAAUAUAAUGGUAGUAAGUCCAAGAGGAUGGGACUGCGGGCUGAGUCCCAGGGGAUGGCUUGUGUCCGCUCUCUUCCCCCAUCCCUUGCUCCAAACAGCCCUUCC